GGGCAAGACACUGAACCCCGAAUGGCUCCCGAUGCGUCAUCGGUGUGUGAGCGUGUAUCUGAUGAGCAUGUGGCAGCUUGUACGGCAGCCUCGGCCACACUGUGUGUGUGUGUGUGUGUGUUGAAUGGUUCCUGGACUAUGUUACAGAGCUUUGAGUAGUGGUUAAGACUAGAAAAGCGCUUUAU
Etheostoma spectabile (orangethroat darter) is the source of this 185-nucleotide long non-coding RNA. RefSeq lists it as uncharacterized. The record is from RefSeq and is a predicted model, not a curated record. NCBI's taxonomy places the organism in Eukaryota, Metazoa, Chordata, Actinopteri, Perciformes, Percidae. The transcript has 3 exons.